RNAcentral lists this long non-coding RNA (451 nucleotides) under Volvox carteri. Its description in RNAcentral is "long non-coding RNA (VCAR_LNC001049)". Lineage: Eukaryota; Viridiplantae; Chlorophyta; Chlorophyceae; Chlamydomonadales; Volvocaceae. The record is from RNAcentral.
UUUUCUCAGCAAGGAAAUCCAAGUAUGGGAAAGGGCCGGUUUUCUGCGAUUUCACUUUUUAGCUUGCCGCCGGUUAUCCUUCCAGUCGUCCUGUCUUUCGUUCCACCCUUGGGACGUAAUUCGUGCCUAUCUCUCCGUACAUGCACAUGUGUGUUUCUCCCGCAAGCCCUGUUUGUUGUUUUUGGUAGGGUAGGCAGAACACAGCAGCCCAUGGAUUUCGUGGCUUGCUUGACUGUUUGCGUGUGGCUUGCCAUGCAAAUUAGCAGAGGGAUGCAGUACGGGACGAAUUUUCGCAUUCUUGAAUGUCCUCCGUCUUGGGUGCCCCGCUAUCCGCAUUCCCUUGACCGACCCCCACUUCACAUCUAACCCUACUGCACGUGCAUGCGGAACUUGUAACUUGUAAAAAUCUAAAACCCUACUGCAUCCCUCUGAAAUUAGUUAGGCUAAGAGC